RNAcentral lists this ribosomal RNA (333 nucleotides) under uncultured bacterium. RNAcentral describes it as "bacterial SSU rRNA". It matches the Rfam family "Bacterial small subunit ribosomal RNA", at positions 8 to 334 of the family's 1533-position model. The record is from RNAcentral.
AGGGUUUGAUUCUGGCUCAGGACGAACGCUGGCGGCGCGCCUAACACAUGCAAGUCGAACGGAGCUGAGAGGAGCUUGCUUUUCUUAGCUUAGUGGCGAACGGGUGAGUAACGCGUGAGUAACCUGCCCUGGAGUGGGGGACAACAGUUGGAAACGACUGCUAAUACCGCAUAAGCCCACGGAUCCGCAUGGAUCUGCGGGAAAAGGAUUUAUUCGCUUCAGGAUGGACUCGCGUCCAAUUAGCUAGUUGGUGAGGUAACGGCCCACCAAGGCGACGAUUGGUAGCCGGACUGAGAGGUUGAACGGCCACAUUGGGACUGAGACACGGCCCAG